AUUGAACGCUGGCGGCAGGCCUAACACAUGCCAGUCGAGCGGAUGAAGGGAGCUUGCUCCUGGAUUCAGCGGCGGACGGGUGAGUAAUGCCUAGGAAUCUGCCUGGUAGUGGGGGAUAACGUCCGGAAACGGGCGCUAAUACCGCAUACGUCCUGAGGGAGAAAGUGGGGGAUCUUCGGACCUCACGCUAUCAGAUGAGCCUAGGUCGGAUUAGCUAGUUGGUGGGGUAAAGGCCUACCAAGGCGACGAUCCGUAACUGGUCUGAGAGGAUGAUCAGUCACACUGGAACUGAGGCACGGUCCAGACUCCUACGGGAGGCAGCAGUGGGGAAUAUUGGACAAUGGGCGAAAGCCUGAUCCAGCCAUGCCGCGUGUGUGAAGAAGGUCUUCGGAUUGUAAAGCACUUUAAGUUGGGAGGAAGGGCAGUAAGUUAAUACCUUGCUGUUUUGACGUUACCAACAGAAUAAGCACCGGCUAACUUCGUG
This 484-nucleotide ribosomal RNA is filed under the name uncultured bacterium. RNAcentral describes it as "partial 16S ribosomal RNA". It matches the Rfam family "Bacterial small subunit ribosomal RNA", at positions 30 to 507 of the family's 1533-position model. The record is from RNAcentral.